GAUGAACGCUAGCGGCAGGCUUAACACAUGCAAGUCGAGGGGCAGCAUAAUGGAUAGCAAUAUCUAUGGUGGCGACCGGCGCACGGGUGCGUAACGCGUAUGCAACCUACCUUUAACAGGGGGAUAACACUGAGAAAUUGGUACUAAUACCCCAUAAUAUCAUAGAAGGCAUCUUUUAUGGUUGAAAAUUCCGAUGGUUAGAGAUGGGCAUGCGUUGUAUUAGCUAGUUGGUGGGGUAACGGCUCACCAAGGCGACGAUACAUAGGGGGACUGAGAGGUUAACCCCCCACACUGGUACUGAGACACGGACCAG
RNAcentral lists this ribosomal RNA (313 nucleotides) under uncultured bacterium. RNAcentral's name for it is "bacterial SSU rRNA". It matches the Rfam family "Bacterial small subunit ribosomal RNA", at positions 28 to 334 of the family's 1533-position model. The record is from RNAcentral.